GGCCAGGUCCCAUGCAGUGGGUUGCGUGGGCAACGGGUCAGGCUGGAAACAGAGCAGCCCAUCCAUUCGGCUCAGGUGCCGUGGUCAACCUGGUCGUC
RNAcentral lists this signal recognition particle RNA (98 nucleotides) under Phycisphaerae bacterium. RNAcentral's name for it is "signal recognition particle sRNA small type". It matches the Rfam family "Bacterial small signal recognition particle RNA". Rfam says of the family: The signal recognition particle (SRP) is a universally conserved ribonucleoprotein involved in the co-translational targeting of proteins to membranes. Archaeal SRP consists of a 7S RNA and homologues of the eukaryotic SRP19 and SRP54 proteins. Lineage: Bacteria; Pseudomonadati; Planctomycetota; Phycisphaerae. The record is from RNAcentral. RNAcentral also lists the same sequence under 2 other names.